RNAcentral lists this ribosomal RNA (599 nucleotides) under Salmonella enterica subsp. enterica serovar Muenster. RNAcentral describes it as "bacterial LSU rRNA". It matches the Rfam family "Bacterial large subunit ribosomal RNA", at positions 342 to 942 of the family's 2925-position model. Lineage: Bacteria; Pseudomonadati; Pseudomonadota; Gammaproteobacteria; Enterobacterales; Enterobacteriaceae. The record is from RNAcentral.
UUGGAAAAGCCAACCAUAGAAGGUAAAGGUCCUGUAGUCGAAAGUCAUUUCUCUCCUGAGUGGAUCCUGAGUACGGCGGAACACGUGAAAUUCCGUCGGAAUCUGGGAGGACCAUCUCCCAAGGCUAAAUACUCUCUAGUGACCGAUAGUGAACCAGUACCGUGAGGGAAAGGUGAAAAGCACCCCGGAAGGGGAGUGAAAUAGAACCUGAAACCGUGUGCUUACAAAUAGUCAGAGCCCGUUAAUGGGUGAUGGCGUGCCUUUUGUAGAAUGAACCGGCGAGUUACGAUUUGAUGCAAGGUUAAGCAGUAAAUGUGGAGCCGUAGCGAAAGCGAGUCUGAAUAGGGCGAAUGAGUAUCUGGUCGUAGACCCGAAACCAAGUGAUCUACCCAUGUCCAGGUUGAAGUUCAGGUAACACUGAAUGGAGGACCGAACCGACUUACGUUGAAAAGUGAGCGGAUGAGGUGUGGGUAGCGGAGAAAUUCCAAUCGAACUUGGAGAUAGCUGGUUCUCUCCGAAAUAGCUUUAGGGCUAGCCUCAAGUGAUGAUUAUUGGAGGUAGAGCACUGUUUGGACGAGGGGCCCCUCUCGGGUUACCGA